CCUACGGGAAGCAGCAGCAACGAAUAUUCCGCAAUGGGCGCAAGCCUGACGGAGCGACGCCGCGUGCAGGAUGAAGUCCCUCGGGAUGUAAACUGCUGUCAGGGGUGAGGAAGAAAGUGACCAGCCCCAGAGGAAGCACCGGCUAACUCCGUGCCAGCAGCCGCGGUAAUACGGAGGGUGCAAGCGUUGUUCGGAAUCACUGGGCUUAAAGCGCGUGUAGGCGGAACGGCAAGUGUCGGGUGAAAUCCCCGGGCUCAACCCGGGAACUGUCCGGCAAACUGCCGUCCUUGAGGCAAGUAGAGGUGACCGGAACGACUGGUGGAGCGGUGAAAUGCGUAGAUAUCAGUUGGAACGCCGGCGGCGAAAGCGGGUCACUGGGCUUGUCCUGACGCUGAGACGCGAAAGCGUGGGGAGCAAGCAGGAUUAGAUACCCUGGUAGUCCACGCCGUAAACGGUGGGCACUAGGUGUAGGGCUCGUAAGGGUUCUGUGCCGAAGGGAAACCAUUAAGUGCCCCGCCUGGGGAGUACGGCCGCAAGGUUGAAACUUAAAGGAAUUGACGG
RNAcentral lists this ribosomal RNA (561 nucleotides) under uncultured bacterium. RNAcentral's name for it is "bacterial SSU rRNA". It matches the Rfam family "Bacterial small subunit ribosomal RNA", at positions 338 to 916 of the family's 1533-position model. The record is from RNAcentral.